UUCCGGUUGAUCCUGCCGGACCUGACUGCUAUCGGAUUGAUACUAAGCCAUGCGAGUCAUUGUAGUAAUACAAGGCAGACGGCUCAGUAACGCGUAGUCAACCUACCCUAUGGACGAGGAUAAUCUCGGGAAACUGAGGAUAAUACUCGAUAGACCAUUAUGCCUGGAACGGUUUAUGGUUAAAAUGAUUCGUCGCCAUAGGAUGGGACUGCGGCCUAUCAGCUUGUUGGUGAGGUAAUGGCCCACCAAGGCGAUUACAGGUACGGGCUCUGAGAGGAGAAGCCCGGAGAUGGGUACUGAGACAAGGACCCAGGCCCUAUGGGGCGCAGCAGGCGAGAAAACUUUGCAAUGUGCGAAAGCACGACAAGGUUAGUCCGAGUGAUUUCUGCUAAAGAAAUCUUUUGCAAGUCAUAAAACCACUAGUGAAUAAGGGGUGGGCAAGUUCUGGUGUCAGCCGCCGCGGUAAAACCAGCACCUCAAGUGGUCAGGAUGAUUAUUGGGCCUAAAGCAUCCGUAGCCGGCUCUGUUAGUUUUCGGUUAAAUCUAUGUGCUCAACGCAUGGGCUGCCGAAAAUACUGCAGGGCUAGGGAGUGGGAGAGGUAGACGGUACUCGGUAGGAAGGGGUAAAAUCCUUUGAUCUAUCGAUGACCACCUGUGGCGAAGGCGGUCUACCAGAACACGUUCGACGGUGAGGGAUGAAAGCUGGGGGAGCAAACCGGAUUAGAUACCCGGGUAGUCCCAGCUGUAAACGAUGCAGACUCGAUGAUGCAUUGGCUUAUUGCCAAUGCAGUGUCGCAGGGAAGCCGUUAAGUCUGCCGCCUGGGAAGUACGUACGCAAGUAUGAAACUUAAAGGAAUUGGCGGGGGAGCACCACAAGGGGUGAAGCCUGCGGUUCAAUUGGAUUCAACGCCGGG
RNAcentral lists this ribosomal RNA (914 nucleotides) under uncultured marine archaeon. RNAcentral describes it as "bacterial SSU rRNA". It matches the Rfam family "Archaeal small subunit ribosomal RNA", at positions 1 to 922 of the family's 1478-position model. The record is from RNAcentral.